This is a long non-coding RNA of Panicum virgatum (switchgrass), 1255 nucleotides long. RefSeq lists it as uncharacterized. The record is from RefSeq and is a predicted model, not a curated record. Lineage: Eukaryota; Viridiplantae; Streptophyta; Magnoliopsida; Poales; Poaceae. The transcript is spliced from 5 exons.
AGUUGUAUAUGCUUACUGCCUAAUGGCACAUCGACCAAUGGAAGAAAAAAUAUAUAAGCAGCAGGUAAUUUUGUAUUUUUCUUCUUCUGGACUGCAGUUCUCAGUUUGAAUUAUCGAAGUUAUUCUCUUGCACUGGUAGAUAAAGGUCCAUCUUUGUUUGAAAAAAAUACUCAUCUUUUUGGAAUUUACAGGUGGAUUGCAGGUUAACAUGAACAUGAAGCCCGUCUCCAAGGUAACCGAAGGAGGUUAUCUUGACGUUGGGGGUAUAGACAUGUGGUGGUGGAUUGUGUCAUUGUGUGGUUCGACCGCGAUCUUACUAUAGCUGGUAGGGUGAUUAUAUGGAAGAAGAGGGAUGGCGGGGUCUCUUAUGCACAUAAUGAGCAACGGCGCUAUACGGGCAUAGAUCCUACAGGAUGAAGGUGUGGUCUAUUGCAGUAACACUAAGAAAUUUAUAUCCACCUAUUUACAUUAUGUACAGGACUGUCUCCUCAGAAGGUCUCAAAAUCAGAGUCAUCUUAUUCCAGUGCUAACUGCAUCUAUCAAGAAUGAAAUGCAGAAAAUAGUGGGAGAAAAUGGCCCAAAGGAGUCAUCGGAGAAUAAGAGCACUAUUGCAGUUGAUUACUAAAGAGGCUAGGGUCUGAUCGAGUCCGUAGCAUGUCCCCUGGCGCACGAAGUUCGUGCUUGUGUUCACGUCCAGUGUCGAGAAGGAUGGUGCAUGUGUGUGCUCGUGCCUGCAGGUCGAGUCAGGGUCAGGACACCGGUGUGGCCACGUUCCAAGUUGUGUUCAGCAUGUUUAGCGUGUGCACGUGCUGGCAUGUUAGUUACGAAGGUGCAGGGAUGGCUUAGAGGUUGCAGUUGGCGGCAGUAGCAGAGGAGCACGACGAGCCACGGGAUCAGCAUGAAAGACCGGUUCUCGCGGAGUAUAUGGCUCAUGAAUGGGAGGAGGCCAGGUCCCAUGGAGUGUACGUUUGUGUAUGUGUGAAAAUCGCUAGUGACAACCUCGCGGAGAGGCUACAUAUGGCGAUGUAAUCCUUGUGUAAGGUUAUCCAGUCCUUUCGAAGUUGAAUAGAAGUCAACAUACAGGCCGCCGAGCGGUCAGGCGUUCAUUGCCAAAACUUGUGUGUCUCCUGUUUAUUGUCCUCCUCCAUGCGUCUUUGCGUGAGCGUGAGUGAUUAUAUGAAGCAUAUGUGAAAAUGAUCUCAUAAAAAAUGUAUUAUAAAAUGCUGCACUUCAUAAAUGAAUAUCAGUUAAAGUA